UGUUUGGAACGUCAAUAGACGGAAGAGGAAGGACGUCAUUAGACGGAAGAGGAAGGAAAGUGUGUUUGAAACUAAAAUCGCUAGUAACAACCAGCAUCAAACGUAACAUUGCUUGUCAAAUGGAUAUCAUUUCUCGUUAUGGUUUGUAGUUAUGCUGGCUUUGCUUCUGCUGUCUUUCUACAACAUCCGAAGUUUCCCUGGCACACAAACGUACUUGUUUCAUUUCGAAUGCUGGGCCGGACAGGAAAAUGGUCCAAUUCACACACUGAUCAAGAGAACAUCCCUGGUCGUCCCUACUGCCUCUGAUCUGGAGGACUCACUAAACAGAGAACAUCCCUGGUCAUCCCUACUGCCUCUGAUCUGGAGGACUCACUAAACAGAGAACAUCCCUGGUCAUCCCUACUGCCUCUGAUCUGGAGGACUCACUAAACAGAGAACAUCCCUGGUCAUCCCUACUGCCUCUGAUCUGGAGGACUCACUAAACAGAGAACAUCCCUGGUCAUCCCUACUGCCUCUGAUCUGGAGGACUCACUAAACAGAGAACAUCCCUGGUCAUCCCUACUGCCUCUGAUCUGGAGGACUCACUAAACACAUGCUUCAUUUGUAAAUGAUGUCUGAUUGUUGGAGUGUUCCCCUGGUUAUUUCUUAAAUAAAAUAACAAGAGAAUCGUUCUGUCUGGUUUGCUUAAUAUAUGGAAGGUCAAAUCAUUUAUACUUUUACCACUGAUACUUAAGUAUAUUUUAGCAAUGACGUUUACUUAGUAUUUUACUGGGUGACUUUCACUUUUACUUGAGUCAUUUUCUAUUAACAUCAUCUUAUUAUUGUACCUUUUUGCCUUCAUUUGCCUCCUACUGUCUAUAAGCUGUCAUAACAUGUGGGUUUUUUAAUGUGGACCAGGUAUCGGAACGCCUUUGAAGGAUCUACAAAGCCCCCAGGUAAAAGUUGGCUUUUGCAGACAAGGAUUGUAUUGUUACUCCACGACAUAAUAUGUUAUCACAACUCUAUUAAAAGGACAUUCUACACAAGGUGUCACUUCAUUCCUUCUAUUUGAUGGGAACUCCUGUUUAGGAAUGGGGAACGAGUGCUAUCUCUCUGGGGGAAAAAACAUGUUUAUACCUAUGCAGUACCUUUACCAAUAAUAAUAAUAAACCUCUACUUUAGUAAAGUUAAUAAUUAUGACAGGUGUGUUGUAAUAAAAAUGAGUGGUGUCCACUGACUAAAUGCAGUCUUUCUGGAAAACCCAGAUAUUCACAAAGUGUUUGAUGAAUGACACGUUGCCUCUUCAUGCAAAAUAGAUUUGACCUUUAAAAUUCAAUGAAGCUGCUUUAUUUUCAGGGUUUAGUGAAGGUGGGUCAUUUUUUACCCUUGGGACAAUGGGAGUAAACAGACUGCUAAGACUACACAAGGGUUAAGUCAAGUAUUUACAAGGUGUCUAGUCAUUUCUGGUGGUUAAUGUCUAAUUGACCACACAUUAGUGCAAGUUGAAGUGUUGUCAGUGCUACACAGGUGUCUGUAGUCUAGGUGCUCGUUAUAAGUGCUUGAAAUCAUAGAUUGCCGUGUUCAAGAGCAUCAAGACUGUGAUUGAAGGGUGAAUUGUGACUGAAUUACUGAGCUACAAAUAAUAUGAAGUAGUUAUUUAUAAGUCAAGGUUACUCUACAUCACUCUCGACUCGCCUUGAAAGUCAUCUGCAAUGUGGAACGUCCAACAAUUCAUUGACACAGUUGUGACUGACUCCUUCAUAGCCGUCGGCCAGCUCUUUCACAUCCACCAUCUAAUUGAGGUGAAAGGACAGAAAUGUUGAAAGUGUGUUUUCUGCAGCACCAGUUAGGACCGUUCUCCUAUGAUGUAGUAGACCCUAUCAGAAAACAUUUACUCACUUUUUACUUUUAUACAAAAAACAUGCCAUUUCUCCAUUUUGGUGAAAAGUGGGCCAUUAGCUAAACCACAACCUUCCUGUCCAAAGACCUUCAUGAACUACUGAAACUAUAUCUGACAGUUUGGGGAGGAAUUCAUUCUAA
This is a non-coding RNA of Salmo salar (Atlantic salmon), 2019 nucleotides long. Lineage: Eukaryota; Metazoa; Chordata; Actinopteri; Salmoniformes; Salmonidae. The record is from RefSeq and is a predicted model, not a curated record.